GGGCUUGUGGUGCAACGGCAGCAUGUCUGACUCCAAAUCAGAAGGUUGUGUGUUCAAAUCACGUCAGGCUCA
Hemiscyllium ocellatum (epaulette shark) is the source of this 72-nucleotide non-coding RNA. NCBI's taxonomy places the organism in Eukaryota, Metazoa, Chordata, Chondrichthyes, Orectolobiformes, Hemiscylliidae. The record is from the annotation of a RefSeq genome assembly.